AGAGUUUGAUCCUGGCUCAGAACGAACGCUGGCGGCGUGCUUAAGACAUGCAAGUCGAACGGUAAGGCGAGUCACUCUUCGGAGUGACUCGUACACGAGUGGCGCACGGGUGAGUAACGCGUGGGUAAUCUGCCUUCGGGUUUGGGACAACUCCGGGAAACUGGAGCUAAUACCGAAUAAGACCACGAGGUCCUUGGAUCUUGCGGAAAAAGGUGGCCUCUUCUUGAAAGCUAUCGCCUGUUGAUGAGCCCGCGUCCCAUUAGCUUGUUGGUGAGGUAAAGGCUCACCAAGGCAUCGAUGGGUAGCUGGUCUGAGAGGAUGAUCAGCCACACUGGAACUGAGACACGGUCCAGACUCCUACGGGAGGCAGCAGUCGGGAAUCUUGGUCAAUGGGGGAAACCCUGAACCAGCAACGCCGCGUGAGGGAUGAAGGCCCUCGGGUCGUAAACCUCUGUCGGAAGGGAAGAACGUAUUUCGGGCCAAUACUCCGGGAUACUGACGGUACCUUCAAAGGAAGCGCCGGCUAACUCCGUGCCAGCAGCCGCGGUAAUACGGAGGGCGCGAGCGUUAUUCGGAAUCAUUGGGCGUAAAGCGCGUGUAGGCGGCUGGGAAAGUCGGAUGUGAAAGCCCGGGGCUCAACCCCGGAAUUGCAUUCGAAACUUCCCAGCUAGAGUCUCGGAGAGGAGGGCGGAAUUCCCG
RNAcentral lists this ribosomal RNA (699 nucleotides) under uncultured bacterium. Its description in RNAcentral is "bacterial SSU rRNA". It matches the Rfam family "Bacterial small subunit ribosomal RNA", at positions 8 to 672 of the family's 1533-position model. The record is from RNAcentral.